Molecule: ribosomal RNA, 1372 nt
Filed under: uncultured bacterium
Lineage: Bacteria
Description: bacterial SSU rRNA
Rfam family: Bacterial small subunit ribosomal RNA
Source: RNAcentral
GAUGAACGCUGGCGGCGUGCCUAAUACAUGCAAGUCGAGCGAACGGACGAGAAGCUUGCUUCUCUGAUGUUAGCGGCGGACGGGUGAGUAACACGUGGAUAACCUACCUAUAAGACUGGGAUAACUUCGGGAAACCGGAGCUAAUACCGGAUAAUAUUUUGAACCGCAUGGUUCAAAAGUGAAAGACGGUCUUGCUGUCACUUAUAGAUGGAUCCGCGCUGCAUUAGCUAGUUGGUAAGGUAACGGCUUACCAAGGCAACGAUGCAUAGCCGACCUGAGAGGGUGAUCGGCCACACUGGAACUGAGACACGGUCCAGACUCCUACGGGAGGCAGCAGUAGGGAAUCUUCCGCAAUGGGCGAAAGCCUGACGGAGCAACACCGCGUGAGUGAUGAAGGUCUUCGGAUCGUAAAACUCUGUUAUUAGGGAAGAACAUAUGUGUAAGUAACUGUGCACAUCUUGACGGUACCUAAUCAGAAAGCCACGGCUAACUACGUGCCAGCAGCCGCGGUAAUACGUAGGUGGCAAGCGUUAUCCGGAAUUAUUGGGCGUAAAGCGCGCGUAGGCGGUUUUUUAUGUCUGAUGUGAAAGCCCACGGCUCAACCGUGGAGGGUCAUUGGAAACUGGAAAACUUGAGUGCAGAAGAGGAAAGUGGAGUUCCAUGUGUAGCGGUGAAAUGCGCAGAGAUAUGGAGGAACACCAGUGGCGAAGGCGACUUUCUGGUCUGUAACUGACGCUGAUGUGCGAAAGCGUGGGGAUCAAACAGGAUUAGAUACCCUGGUAGUCCACGCCGUAAACGAUGAGUGCUAAGUGUUAGGGGGUUUCCGCCCCUUAGUGCUGCAGCUAACGCAUUAAGCACUCCGCCUGGGGAGUACGACCGCAAGGUUGAAACUCAAAGGAAUUGACGGGGACCCGCACAAGCGGUGGAGCAUGUGGUUUAAUUCGAAGCAACGCGAAGAACCUUACCAAAUCUUGACAUCCUUUGACAACUCUAGAGAUAGAGCCUUCCCCUUCGGGGGACAAAGUGACAGGUGGUGCAUGGUUGUCGUCAGCUCGUGUCGUGAGAUGUUGGGUUAAGUCCCGCAACGAGCGCAACCCUUAAGCUUAGUUGCCAUCAUUAAGUUGGGCACUCUAAGUUGACUGCCGGUGACAAACCGGAGGAAGGUGGGGAUGACGUCAAAUCAUCAUGCCCCUUAUGAUUUGGGCUACACACGUGCUACAAUGGACAAUACAAAGGGCAGCGAAACCGCGAGGUCAAGCAAAUCCCAUAAAGUUGUUCUCAGUUCGGAUUGUAGUCUGCAACUCGACUACAUGAAGCUGGAAUCGCUAGUAAUCGUAGAUCAGCAUGCUACGGUGAAUACGUUCCCGGGUCU